UGGUGGAGUGAUUUGUCUGGUUAAUUCCGAUAACGAACGAGACUCUGUCCUGCUAAAUAGUUACAUGUAACUUCGGCUACGUGGGCAACUUCUUAGAGGGACUUUGUGUGUCUAACGCAAGGAAGUUUGAGGCAAUAACA
Molecule: ribosomal RNA, 140 nt
Filed under: uncultured eukaryote
Lineage: Eukaryota
Description: partial 18S ribosomal RNA
Rfam family: Eukaryotic small subunit ribosomal RNA
Source: RNAcentral